UAACCCCAUAUCAGGCGGGAUUGCCCGUUGAGUUUAACCAUAUCAAUAAGCAAAGUAAAAGAAACUUACAAGGAUUUUCUUAGUAACGAUGAGCAAAUCGAGAACAACCCAACCUUAGAAUCGAGCAAAAUUAUCGUACUUAUUAUAGUCUGGAGAAACAUCCUCAGCGGUGGAUCAGACCUAAGUCCCCUGAAGGGGGCGUCAUAGAGGGUGAGAUCUUCGUUGUUCCUGAACCCUAUCGCACCAUGAGGCGCUGUCUACGGUCGGGUUGUUUGGGAAUACAGCCCAAAUCGGGCGGAGAAUUCCCUGCAAGGUUAAAUACGGGCGAGAGUCCGAUAGCAAACAAGUACCGUGAGGGAAAUAUCAGAAGGACUUAAAAAGUGAGUCAAAGACUGCUUGAAAUUAUUGAGAGAAAAGUGGAUGGGGUCGAUGAUGCGCCUCAGUCAUAUGUGGAAUGGCGACGAGCUAUUCUACCGAUCAACUCUAGGAAUGAACCAGUAUGGAUUAGGGGGGCGGCCAAAGCUCGGGAUAUCGAUACGCUCAUGGAAUAUCAUCUCCUUGAUUGUGAUAGACAGCUCGCGCCUCUGGCGUGCUUCGACAUCUAUGCAUUCCGAAUGCUGUCCUGUGGCUUCCUAUUCGACCCAUCUUGAAACACGGACCAAGGAGUCUGACAUGUGUGUGAGUCAACAGGUGAGUAAACCCAAAAGGCAUAAGGAAGCUGAUUAGUGGGAUCCUCAGAGGGGUGCAUCGCUGACCAACCUUGAUCUUCUGAGAAGGGUUCGAGUGUGAGUAUACCUAUUGGGACCCAAAAGAUGGUGAACUAUGCCUGAGUAGGGCGAAGCCAGAGGAAAUUCUGGUAUAGGCCCACAGUGAUACUGAUAUGCAAAUCGUUCGUCUGACUUGUGUAUAGAGGAGAAAGACCAAUCGAACCGUCUAGUAGUUUGUUCCCUCCAAAGUUUCCCUUAGGAUAACUGGAGAUCACGUGUGAGUUCUAUUAUGUAAAGCCAAUGAUUUGAGGCCUCGGGGAUGCAACCCCCUCAACCUAUUCUCAAACUUUAAAUAGGUAGGACGGCGUGACUACUUUGUUGAGCCACACUAUAGAAUAAAGAGCUCCAAGUAGGCAAUUUUUGGUAAGUAGAACUAGCGAUGCGGGAUGAAUCAAAAGAUGGGUUAUGGUGCCACACUGUGCGCUAACCUAGAUCCCACAAAGGGUGUUGGUCGAUUAAGAUAGUAGGACAGUGGUCAUGGAAGUUAAAAUCUGCUAAGGAGUAUGGAAAAACUAACCUACCGAAUCAACUAGCCCCAAAAAUGGUUGGCGCUUAAGUGCGCGACUACACCCAGUUGUUGGGGCCAGUGCCAGGCUCUGAUGAGUAGGAGAAAAAAACGGUAACUGUAAAACCAUGGGCGCAAGCUCGAGCGCAGCGACCAUUGGUGCAGAUAUUGGUGUUAGGAGCAAAUAUUCAAAUGAAAACUUUGAUGGACGAAGAGAGGAAAGGUUACAUAUGAACGACACUUUCACAUGGGUUAGUCGAUCCUAAGGUUUAGGGGAACCCCAAAAGAUAGCGCAUUUCACGUGUACUUUGAAAGUGAAUCAGGUUAAACUAACUUAACCGGGAUGUGGCAGUCGACAACAACGUUAGGAAUUUUGGAGACGUCGACAGUAGCCUCAGGAAGAGUUAUCUUUUUUGCUUAACAGCCUACCCACCCUGGAAUCAGCUCAGCUGGAGGUAGGGUCCAGCAGCUAGAAGAGCACCAUAAAUUGCAUGGUAUCUGAUGCACUCCCAAUGACCCAUGGUAAUCCGGAGGACUGAAUUCUGUCCACACCUAGUCAUACUCAUAACCGCAUCAGGUCUCCAAGGUAAACAACCUUUGGUCGAUGGAAUAAUGUAGGCAAGGGAAGUUGGCAAAAUAGAUUCGCAACUUCGCGAAAAGGAUUGGCUCUGAGGUUUGGGCAUGGGGGUCCCAGUCCCGAACCCAUCAGCUAUCGAUGGACUGCUUGAGAUGCUCUGUGGUGGGAGUGGGUCAUCACGUGUUGGCUGGGGAUGGACUGGGAAUGGUUCUUUUAGGGGCCUUCCCCGCACGUCGAACAGCCAACUCAUAACUGGUACAAACAAGGGAAAUCUGACUAUUUAAUUAAAACCAAGCAUUGAAAUGGUCCUAAUGGAUGUUCACACAAUGUGAUUUUUGCCCAGUGCUCUGAAUGUCAAAGUGAAGAAAUUCAACCAAGCGCAAUUGAACAAUGGGAGUAACUAUGACUCUCUUAAGGUAGCCAAAUGGCUUGUCAUCUAAUUAGUGAUGCGCCUGAAUGGAUUAAUGAGAUACCUACUGUCCCUGUCUACUAUCCAGCAAAACCAUAGCUAAGGGAAUAGGCUUGGCAAAAUGAGCAGGGAAAAAAGACCCUGCUUAUCUUGACUCUAGUCCGACUUUGUGAAAUGGCUUGAGAGGUGUAGUAUAAGUGGGAGCCAAAAGGAGAAAGUGAAACACCAGUACUUUUAAUGUUAUUUUACUUAUUUUUGUGAAUUGAAAGUAGGGCAAUGCCCCUCUUUUUGGACCCAAGCCUCACUCUGAGGGCCAAUUCGGGUGGAAGACAUUGUCAGGUUGGGAGUUUGACUGGGGUGGCACAUCUAUUAAAAGAUAACACAGGUGUCCUAAGAUGAGCUCAAUAUGAAUAGAAAUCUCAUGUGGAAUAGAAGGGUAAGAGCUCGCUUGAUUCUGAUUUCCAGUACGAAUAGGAACUGUGAAACCGUGGCCUAACAAUCCUUUAGAUCUUCAAAAUUAGAAGCUAGAGGUGUCAGAAAAGUUACCACAGGGAUAAAUGGCUUGUGGCUGCCAGGCGUUUAUAGCGACGUAGCUUUUUGAUCCUUCGAUGUUGGCUCUUCCUAUAUUUGUGAAGCAGAAUUCACCAAGUGUUGGAUUGUUCACCCACCAAUGUAGAAUGUAAGCAGGGUUUAGACUAUCAUGAGAUAGGUUAGUUUUGCCCUACUGAUGACAUUGUCGCAAUAGUAAUUCAGCGUAGUACGAGAGGAAUCGUUGAUUCAUAGAAUUGGUCAUCGCGUUUGGUUAAAAAGCCAGUAGCAUGAAGCUACUGUUACUGGGUUAUGACUGAACACCUCUAAUUCAAAAUCCUGGCUAGAAGCGGCGCAUGCGGCCACCGCUCUCAUACCGAUCUAUAGUAGGGGCCUCGCCCCCCAAGGGCACAUGUUGUUGGCUAAGCCAUCGUGGCGAAAGGUUUGUGAAGGCUUCUUUGAAGUACAAUUUUCAUUGAACGGUGGGUAGAAUCCUUUACAUAUGACUUAAAUAUGUGAUAGGUAUUGUAAGUAGCAAAGUGGCCUUGCUGCCACGAUCCACUGAGAUUCAGCCCUUUGUCACUUUGGUUCGU
Capsicum annuum is the source of this 3379-nucleotide non-coding RNA. The record is from Rfam. NCBI's taxonomy places the organism in Eukaryota, Viridiplantae, Streptophyta, Magnoliopsida, Solanales, Solanaceae.